This 363-nucleotide long non-coding RNA is filed under the name Phoenix dactylifera (date palm). RNAcentral describes it as "long non-coding RNA (PDAC_LNC016885)". Lineage: Eukaryota; Viridiplantae; Streptophyta; Magnoliopsida; Arecales; Arecaceae. The record is from RNAcentral.
CUCUCUCUCUCUCUCUCUCUCUCUCUCUCUCCCUUUCUCUCUUCUCUGAGAGCCCCAUUCUUUCCCCAUUUCUCUAAAGAUUGGAUCUUCUUCCUCUUUUCUUUUCCCUUUUUUUUGAGAAGAUUACCGGAGCCACCGUCGUCGCCGGAGCCGCCACCGCCGUUGGAAAGCCACUCGUCGACGACCGGAGGUGAGAAAGACAACCUUAUUUUCUAUUUUUAUGGAUUUAAGGGAAAGGAAUGUGGGCAUGUUAAUCGGUUUUCAUUUUCCCUGUUUUGGAGAAAAAUUUGUGGGAUUCGGCCGGCCGACGGUGGCCGGCCGGGGUCAAUCCGGCCGAAACGAGUUCGGCCGGAGGUGGCGAAC